Molecule: unclassified non-coding RNA, 210 nt
Filed under: Hevea brasiliensis (rubber tree)
Lineage: Eukaryota; Viridiplantae; Streptophyta; Magnoliopsida; Malpighiales; Euphorbiaceae
Source: RNAcentral
AUCUUCUUUCAGUCAAAAUAGCUCAGUACACCAACAAAAUGUGGGCCAGAAUGAUGUAGCCAUGGAAUUGAUUAAUAAUGUUACUGGAGUGGAUGAGGAAGGGCGUUCUCGCCAGCGGAUUCUUUCCUUUGCUGCCAAGAGGUAUGCUAGCGCAAUAGAAAGAAAUUCACAAGACUAUGAUGCAUAUUACAAUUGGGCAUUGGUUCUUCA